UCAGACGGCCGGAUGGCCGCAUUCGCGUGCCUGUCACAGGGCGGGCGGGUGAGGAAAGUCCGGGCUCCACGGAGACACGGUGCCGGAUAACGUCCGGCGGGGGCGACCCUAGGGAUCAGUGCCACAGAGAACUAACCGCCGGCCUGCCGCAAGGCGCCGCCGGCAAGGGUGAAAAGGUGCGGUAAGAGCGCACCGCGAACCCGGCAACGGGAUCGGCAUGGCAAACCCCACCGGGAGCAAGACCAAGUAGGGGCGGCAGUCCAUCGGCAACGAUGGGCGGGGCUGUGUCCGGCUCGCCGCCCGGGUCGGUCGCGCGAGGCGUCCGGUGACGGACGUCCCAGAGGAAUGGCCAUCGAACCGCUUCGGCGGGGAACAGAACCCGGCUUACAGGCCGUCUGACGCU
RNAcentral lists this RNase P RNA (403 nucleotides) under Alphaproteobacteria bacterium. Its description in RNAcentral is "RNase P RNA component class A". It matches the Rfam family "Bacterial RNase P class A". From Rfam's summary of the family: Ribonuclease P (RNase P) is a ubiquitous endoribonuclease, found in archaea, bacteria and eukarya as well as chloroplasts and mitochondria. Lineage: Bacteria; Pseudomonadati; Pseudomonadota; Alphaproteobacteria. The record is from RNAcentral.